Suricata suricatta (meerkat) is the source of this 1106-nucleotide long non-coding RNA. RefSeq lists it as uncharacterized. NCBI's taxonomy places the organism in Eukaryota, Metazoa, Chordata, Mammalia, Carnivora, Herpestidae. The record is from RefSeq and is a predicted model, not a curated record. The transcript is spliced from 2 exons.
CUCUUGCACGCACUGACAUACAAGUUCAAGUGCUUAUGUGGAUGAUCUUUGCGAACCUACUGGGUGCAAGAGAUGUAUGCAAGCAUAUAUCUGCCGGAGCCAACUCUGGCGCUAGGGUAGACCCGACUGGACCACUGCCUGGUCUCCGGUAGGCGGGAAAGCCGCUUUCAUAAAUAGAAGUGUACGCAACUCACGUACACACCUACACAAAUAGGAGCAGCUUGGAGCCAGCAAGCAUGUGGCCAGAGAUGUAGCUGGAGGUGGGCAGCGACCAGCCAUGACAGUUAUGGUGGGCUAAGCACUUUUACUGUAUUCUAAAAGCAACAGAGAGCCAUCAGUUUGAAGGUGUGGCUUCAUAUCCUUCCUGAAGGAGCAGACAGCACCUUCUCUAACAGCUCUCAAAGACUUCUAGAAGCACUUGUACUUCAUAAAGCCUCCUCAGCAAGAAUGGCACUCUUUAAAGCAUACGAUAGACACCAGAGCCUGCUAAAAAUACGCCUGAGCCUCCACGACAUACCAAACCAUAAACUACUUGUGUUGGAAGGAACUUCCUCUUAUUAUUAUUAUUAUUAUUAUUUUUUAAAUAAUCUCUAUACCCAGCCUGGGGCUCAAACCUACAAACCUCAGCUCAAGAGUCACAUGCUGCAUACACUGAGCCAGUCAGGCAUCCCUAUCUUGGAAGGAACUUUCAAACUUCAUUGCAAGUCAGUCACUGCCUUUGCUCCUCAGCUCAGUUUGGUGCAGCUUGGUAAUGUGUGGUAGACGGAACUGGGUUCAAAUCCCUGUCCUGCCACUUGCCAGCUGCUAGGACCUUGAACAAGCAAGUGCAGUGAGAAUCGAAAACAAUUAUACGCACCAAGCACUCCUCUGGAAGUGUUUUAGUCUGGGAGAGCAACCCCAACAGAUCACAACAGGAGGCUUCAACCACAGAAAUUUAUUCUCUCACAGUUCUGGAAGCUGGAAGUCUGACAUCAAGGGAUCAACAGGGAGAACUCUCUCCUUGGUUGGCACCUUCUCCCCAUGGCUCCACAUUCUUCCCUCUGUCUCUGUAAACAUGCCUGCCAAAUUUCCUCUUCUUUUAAAUUAAAAAAAAUUUGUAAUGUGUA